This 659-nucleotide ribosomal RNA is filed under the name bacterium enrichment culture. RNAcentral's name for it is "bacterial SSU rRNA". It matches the Rfam family "Bacterial small subunit ribosomal RNA", at positions 872 to 1532 of the family's 1533-position model. The record is from RNAcentral.
CCUGGGGAGUACGGUCGCAAGAUUAAAAACUCAAAGGGAAUUGACGGGGGCCCGCACAAGCAGCGGAGCAUGUGGUUUAAUUCGAAGCAACGCGAAGAACCUUACCUGGACUUGACAUCCCUUGCAUAGCCUAGAGAUAGGUGAAGCCCUUCGGGGCAAGGAGACAGGUGGUGCAUGGUUGUCGUCAGCUCGUGUCGUGAGAUGUUAGGUUAAGUCCUGCAACGAGCGCAACCCUUGUUAUUAGUUGCUACCAUUAAGUUGAGCACUCUAAUGAGACUGCCUGGGUAACCAGGAGGAAGGUGGGGAUGACGUCAAAUCAUCAUGCCCCUUAUGUCCAGGGCUACACACGUGCUACAAUGGUAGGUACAAUAAGAGGCAAGACCGUGAGGUGGAGCAAAACUUAUAAAGCCUAUCUCAGUUCGGAUUGUAGGCUGCAACUCGCCUACAUGAAGCUGGAGUUGCUAGUAAUCGCGAAUCAGGAUGUCGCGGUGAAUACGUUCCCGGGCCUUGUACACACCGCCCGUCACACCAUGAGAGCUGGUAACACCCGAAGUCCGUGAGGCAACCGUAAGGAGCCAGCGGCCGAAGGUGGGAUUAGUGAUUGGGGUGAAGUCGUAACAAGGUAGCCGUAGGAGAACCUGCGGCUGGAUCACCUCCUU